GAAAUGCGAUAAGUAAUGUGAAUUGCAGAAUUCAGUGACUCAUCGAAUCUUUGAACGCACAUUGCGCCCGCCAGCACUCUGGCGGGCAUGCCUGUUCGAGCGUCAUUUCAACCCUCAGAACCCCUUGCGGGAUCUGGCGUUGGGGAUUGGCAUCCAGCCAGCCCCGAAAUCUAGUGGCGGUCCCUCCGCGACCUCCCCUGUGCAGUAGCGAUACCUCGCAGCGGGACAGCGGUCUGACCACGCCGUAAAACCCCCAACUUCUCAAGGUUGACCUCGAAUCAGGUAGGAAUACCCGCUGAACUUAAGC
This 307-nucleotide unclassified non-coding RNA is filed under the name plant metagenome. RNAcentral's name for it is "partial contains 5.8S ribosomal RNA, internal transcribed spacer 2, and large subunit ribosomal RNA". The stretch from base 1 to 105 matches the Rfam family "5.8S ribosomal RNA", at positions 50 to 154 of the family's 154-position model. The record is from RNAcentral.